UACGGAGGGUGCGAGCGUUAAUCGGAAUUACUGGGCGUAAAGCGCGCGUAGGCUGUUUUGUAAGUCAGGGGUGAAAGCCCACGUCUCAACCGUGGAAUUGCCCUUGAAACUGCGGGACUCGAAUUCGGGAGAGGAUGGCGGAAUUUCAGGUGUAGGAGUGAAAUCCGUAGAUAUCUGAAAGAACAUCAGUGGCGAAGGCGGCCAUCUGGAUCGAUAUUGACGCUGAGGCGCGAAAGCGUGGGGAGCAAAC
This 250-nucleotide ribosomal RNA is filed under the name uncultured prokaryote. RNAcentral describes it as "partial 16S ribosomal RNA". It matches the Rfam family "Bacterial small subunit ribosomal RNA", at positions 524 to 773 of the family's 1533-position model. The record is from RNAcentral.